Molecule: ribosomal RNA, 879 nt
Filed under: uncultured bacterium
Lineage: Bacteria
Description: bacterial SSU rRNA
Rfam family: Bacterial small subunit ribosomal RNA
Source: RNAcentral
GGGGUAUGGGGCAUGCUACCAUGCAAGUCGAACGGAAACGAUGGGAGCUUGCUCCCAGGCGUCGAGUGGCGGACGGCUUUGUAAUACUUAGGAAUCUACCCAGUAGCGGGGGACAACUCCCGUAAACUCGAGCUAACACCGCAUACGCUCUACGGAGGAAAGCAGGGGAUCUUCGGACCUUGCACUAUUGGAUGAGCCUAAGUCGGAUUAGCUUGUUGGUGAGGUAAAGGCUCACCAAGGCGACGAUCCGUAGCUGGUCUGAGAGGACGAUCAGCCACACUGGGACUGAGACACGGCCCAGACUCCUACGGGAGGCAGCAGUGGGGAAUAUUGGACAAUGGGGGCAACCCUGAUCCAGCAAUGCCGCGUGUGUGAAGAAGGCCUGCGGGUUGUAAAGCACUUUCAGUAGAGAAGAAAAGCCUAGGGUUAAUACCCCUGAGUCUUGACGUUACCUACAGAAGAAGCUCCGGCUAACUCCGUGCCAGCAGCCGCGGUAAUACGGAGGGAGCGAGCGUUAAUCGGAAUUACUGGGCGUAAAGCGCACGUAGGCGGCUUUGUAAGUCGGAUGUGAAAGCCCCGGGCUUAACCUGGGAAUGGCAUUCGAUACUGCAGAGCUAGAGUAUGGUAGAGGGAAGUGGAAUUUCCGGUGUAGCGGUGAAAUGCGUAGAUAUCGGAAGGAACACCGGUGGCGAAGGCGACUUCCUGGGCCAAUACUGACGCUGAGGUGCGAAAGCGUGGGUAGCAAACAGGAUUAGAUACCCUGGUAGCCCCCGCCGUAAACGAAGAGAACUAGAUGUCGGGAGGAUCUGCCUUUCGGUGUCGCACCUAACGCGUUAAGUUCCCGGCUGGGGGAGGACCCCGGCAACGGUAAAACUCAAA